Molecule: ribosomal RNA, 2184 nt
Filed under: Klebsiella pneumoniae
Lineage: Bacteria; Pseudomonadati; Pseudomonadota; Gammaproteobacteria; Enterobacterales; Enterobacteriaceae
Description: partial 23S ribosomal RNA
Rfam family: Bacterial large subunit ribosomal RNA
Source: RNAcentral
UGGAUGCCCUGGCAGUCAGAGGCGAUGAAGGACGUGCUAAUCUGCGAAAAGCGUCGGUAAGGUGAUAUGAACCGUUACAGCCGGCGAUGUCCGAAUGGGGAAACCCAGUGCAAUUCGUUGCACUAUCGUUAACUGAAUACAUAGGUUAACGAGGCGAACCGGGGGAACUGAAACAUCUAAGUACCCCGAGGAAAAGAAAUCAACCGAGAUUCCCCCAGUAGCGGCGAGCGAACGGGGAGCAGCCCAGAGUCUGAAUCAGCUUGUGUGUUAGUGGAACGGUCUGGAAAGUCCGACGGUACAGGGUGAUAGUCCCGUACACCAAAAUGCACAGGCUGUGAACUCGAAGAGUAGGGCGGGACACGUGGUAUCCUGUCUGAAUAUGGGGGGACCAUCCUCCAAGGCUAAAUACUCCUGACUGACCGAUAGUGAACCAGUACCGUGAGGGAAAGGCGAAAAGAACCCCGGCGAGGGGAGUGAAAAAGAACCUGAAACCGUGUACGUACAAGCAGUGGGAGCACCUUCGGGUGUGACUGCGUACCUUUUGUAUAAUGGGUCAGCGACUUAUAUUCUGUAGCAAGGUUAACCGUAUAGGGGAGCCGCAGGGAAACCGAGUCUUAACUGGGCGUUAAGUUGCAGGGUAUAGACCCGAAACCCGGUGAUCUAGCCAUGGGCAGGUUGAAGGUUGGGUAACACUAACUGGAGGACCGAACCGACUAAUGUUGAAAAAUUAGCGGAUGACUUGUGGCUGGGGGUGAAAGGCCAAUCAAACCGGGAGAUAGCUGGUUCUCCCCGAAAGCUAUUUAGGUAGCGCCUCGUGAAUUCAUCUUCGGGGGUAGAGCACUGUUUCGGCUAGGGGGUCAUCCCGACUUACCAACCCGAUGCAAACUACGAAUACCGAAGAAUGUUAUCACGGGAGACACACGGCGGGUGCUAACGUCCGUCGUGAAGAGGGAAACAACCCAGACCGCCAGCUAAGGUCCCAAAGUCAUGGUUAAGUGGGAAACGAUGUGGGAAGGCACAGACAGCCAGGAUGUUGGCUUAGAAGCAGCCAUCAUUUAAAGAAAGCGUAAUAGCUCACUGGUCGAGUCGGCCUGCGCGGAAGAUGUAACGGGGCUAAACCAUGCACCGAAGCUGCGGCAGCGACACUAUGUGUUGUUGGGUAGGGGAGCGUUCUGUAAGCCUGCGAAGGUGACCUGUGAGGGUUGCUGGAGGUAUCAGAAGUGCGAAUGCUGACAUAAGUAACGAUAAAGCGGGUGAAAAGCCCGCUCGCCGGAAGACCAAGGGUUCCUGUCCAACGUUAAUCGGGGCAGGGUGAGUCGACCCCUAAGGCGAGGCCGAAAGGCGUAGUCGAUGGGAAACAGGUUAAUAUUCCUGUACUUGGUGUUACUGCGAAGGGGGGACGGAGAAGGCUAUGUUAGCCGGGCGACGGUUGUCCCGGUUUAAGCAUGUAGGCUGGUUAUCCAGGCAAAUCCGGAUAAUCAAGGCUGAGGUGUGAUGACGAGGCACUACGGUGCUGAAGUAACAAAUGCCCUGCUUCCAGGAAAAGCCUCUAAGCAUCAGGUAACAUCAAAUCGUACCCCAAACCGACACAGGUGGUCAGGUAGAGAAUACCAAGGCGCUUGAGAGAACUCGGGUGAAGGAACUAGGCAAAAUGGUGCCGUAACUUCGGGAGAAGGCACGCUGGUGUGUAGGUGAAGUCCCUGCGGAUGGAGCUGAGACCAGUCGAAGAUACCAGCUGGCUGCAACUGUUUAUUAAAAACACAGCACUGUGCAAACACGAAAGUGGACGUAUACGGUGUGACGCCUGCCCGGUGCCGGAAGGUUAAUUGAUGGGGUUAUCCGUAAGGAGAAGCUCUUGAUCGAAGCCCCGGUAAACGGCGGCCGUAACUAUAACGGUCCUAAGGUAGCGAAAUUCCUUGUCGGGUAAGUUCCGACCUGCACGAAUGGCGUAAUGAUGGCCAGGCUGUCUCCACCCGAGACUCAGUGAAAUUGAACUCGCUGUGAAGAUGCAGUGUACCCGCGGCAAGACGGAAAGACCCCGUGAACCUUUACUAUAGCUUGACACUGAACAUUGAGCCUUGAUGUGUAGGAUAGGUGGGAGGCUUUGAAGCGUGGACGCCAGUCUGCGUGGAGCCAACCUUGAAAUACCACCCUUUAAUGUUUGAUGUUCUAACGUUGGCCCCU